This 409-nucleotide ribosomal RNA is filed under the name Placozoa sp. H17 HM-2017. RNAcentral describes it as "rnLc". The stretch from base 1 to 333 matches the Rfam family "Archaeal large subunit ribosomal RNA", at positions 2682 to 2987 of the family's 2987-position model. The record is from RNAcentral. Lineage: Eukaryota; Metazoa; Placozoa.
AGACCGGCGUGAGCCAGGUCGGUUUCUAUCUAGAAUUCAAAAAUAAACAAAGACCAAUUUACCUUCUAGUACGAAAGGAUCGAAGGAUUUAUAUCCUCUGGUGUUUCAAUUCAAAUAUAGGGAGCGAAAGGGCAGCGCCGAAGGCGCGGGCCGGCCCAAAAUUGGGCGCCGCGGGCCCAUCCGUUGGAUCCGCGUCGCCGGGGGACUUCGUUUUGGUUCCCGUCGUUGAGUAGCUACGAUAUAAAGAAUAAUUGCUGAAUGCAACUCAAGCAAGAAAUCUCUGGUUUUAUAAAUUGUUAGUUCUCAUGGUGGGGGGCCGGAUCCGUUGGGUCCGCCCCAAGGUCUUUGGCACCCCGUUUUUGAGAUCAAAAUUUUGUUUAAAUACAAUCGGAGUAGACGACUUCGUUUU